Molecule: ribosomal RNA, 252 nt
Filed under: uncultured bacterium
Lineage: Bacteria
Description: partial 16S ribosomal RNA
Rfam family: Bacterial small subunit ribosomal RNA
Source: RNAcentral
UACGGAGGGUGCAAGCGUUAAUCGGAAUUACUGGGCGUAAAGCGUGCGUAGGCGGUUCGUUAAGUCUGUUGUGAAAGCCCCGGCUCAACCUGGGAAUGGCAAUGGAUACUGGCGAGCUAGAGUGUGUCAGAGGAUGGUGGAAUUCCCGGUGUAGCGGUGAAAUGCGUAGAUAUCGGAAGGAACACCAGUGGCGAAAGCGGCUUCCUGGUCCAGCACCGACGUUCAGGCACGAAAGCGUGGGGAGCAAACAGG